Molecule: ribosomal RNA, 389 nt
Filed under: uncultured bacterium
Lineage: Bacteria
Description: bacterial SSU rRNA
Rfam family: Bacterial small subunit ribosomal RNA
Source: RNAcentral
GACGAACGCUGGCGGCGUGCUUAACACAUGCAAGUCGAGCGGUAAGGCCCUUUCGGGGGUACGACGAGCGGCGAACGGGUGAGUAACACGUGGGUGACCUGCCCUCAGCUCUGGGAUAACGCCUGGGAAACUGGGUCUAAUACUGGAUAUGACUCCACGGUGCAUGUCGUGGGGUGGAAAGCCUUGUGCGGCUGAGGAUGGGCCCGCGGCCUAUCAGCUUGUUGGUGGGGUGAGGCCUACCAAGGCGACGACGGGUAGCCGGCCUGAGAGGGCGACCGGCCACACUGGGACUGAGACACGGCCCAGACUCCUACGGGAGGCAGCAGUGGGGAAUCUUGCGCAAUGGGCGAAAGCCUGACGCAGCGACGCCGCGUGAGGGAUGACGGCCU